Long non-coding RNA from Sinocyclocheilus rhinocerous, 593 nucleotides. RefSeq lists it as uncharacterized. The record is from RefSeq and is a predicted model, not a curated record. The transcript has 3 exons. Lineage: Eukaryota; Metazoa; Chordata; Actinopteri; Cypriniformes; Cyprinidae.
CUUGCUUGGCUUCCUCUGGAACAUUCCUGCUGACAGAUGGGCGGAGCGGUUAUCAUAUGAGACUUACAGAGAUCUCUGUGGGAAACAAGUCAGUUCAGACAUGAAUCACGACGUGCCUUCACAACAUUGAAGAGGAGCAUUAGCAAAGAAAAUGGUUUAAAUGUAAGUGUGACUAUGAAGAAGAGCCCACCCCUUUUUCUCUGAUGAGCAAUGCGUUGGUUGCAUCACACAGUAACAGCAGCAUUCAGAGGUCAACGGUCACACCAAGAAACGGGGCAAUGACUCGACAUCACAACGAUUUGGAGCGAGGCAUUCAAACAUAUCAACGUGUAGUCAUGAAGAAUGGCAAACCUGUUGAAACCGAAGAAUUCAGGUUUUAUUCAACUGAUUAAAGGAUACUUGAAAAAUACAGAAGAGCAGUUUUAAUGUAAUUAAAAUGUUGUGGGGUCUUUCUGUGCUGAAAUAUAGAAUACAUCAAAUUAUGAUGACUGUUGUCUCAAUGCUUUAUCUAAAUUAGAUGAUCAUGCUGUCUACUAACUAUUUGCUUUACUGUUCUUGUACAUUGCUUUACUAUACUUGUACUUUUACUUUAC